This 483-nucleotide ribosomal RNA is filed under the name uncultured bacterium. RNAcentral's name for it is "partial 16S ribosomal RNA". It matches the Rfam family "Bacterial small subunit ribosomal RNA", at positions 29 to 507 of the family's 1533-position model. The record is from RNAcentral.
UUGCACGCUGGCGGCCUGCUUUACCCAUGCAAGUCGAACGGCAGCGCGGGCUUCGGCCUGGCGGCGAGUGGCGAACGGGUGAGUAAUGCAUCGGAACGUGCCCAGUAGUGGGGGAUAGCCCGGCGAAAGCCGGAUUAAUACCGCAUACGACCUGAGGGUGAAAGCGGGGGACCGAAAGGCCUCGCGCUAUUGGAGCGGCCGAUGUCGGAUUAGCUAGUUGGUGGGGUAAAGGCUUACCAAGGCGACGAUCCGUAGCUGGUCUGAGAGGACGACCAGCCACACUGGGACUGAGACACGGCCCAGACUCCUACGGGAGGCAGCAGUGGGGAAUGUUGGACAAUGGGGGCAACCCUGAUCCAGCCAUGCCGCGUGCGGGAAGAAGGCCUUCGGGUUGUAAACCGCUUUUGUUCGGGAAGAAAUCCUCUGGGCUAAUACCCCGGGGGUAUGACGGUACCGGAAGAAUAAGCACCGGCUAACUACGUG